Molecule: ribosomal RNA, 253 nt
Filed under: uncultured bacterium
Lineage: Bacteria
Description: partial 16S ribosomal RNA
Rfam family: Bacterial small subunit ribosomal RNA
Source: RNAcentral
UACGAAGGGGGCUAGCGUUGUUCGGAAUUACUGGGCGUAAAGCGCGCGCAGGCGGUCUUCCAAGUCAGGGGUGAAAUCCCGAGGCUCAACCUCGGAACUGCCUUUGAUACUGGGGAUCUCGAGUCCGGGAGAGGUGAGUGGAACUGCGAGUGUAGAGGUGAAAUUCGUAGAUAUUCGCAAGAACACCAGUGGCGAAGGCGGCUCACUGGCCCGGAACUGACGCUGAGGUGCGAAAGCGUGGGGAGCAAACAGG